AUUGAACGCUGGCGGAAUGCUUUACACAUGCAAGUCGAACGGCAGCACGGACUUCGGUCUGGUGGCGAGUGGCGAACGGGUGAGUAAUGUAUCGGAACGUGCCCAGUCGUGGGGGAUAACGUAGUGAAAAUUACGCUAAUACCGCAUACGAUCUAUGGAUGAAAGCGGGGGAUCGCAAGACCUCGCGCGAUUGGAGCGGCCGAUAUCAGAUUAGGUAGUUGGUGGGGGUAAAGGCCCACCAAGCCAACGAUCUGUAGCUGGUCUGAGAGGACGACCAGCCACACUGGAACUGAGACACGGUCCAGACUCCUACGGGAGGCAGCAGUGGGGAAUUUUGGACAAUGGGCGAAAGCCUGAUCCAGCCAUUCCGCGUGCAGGAUGAAGGCCCUCGGGUUGUAAACUGCUUUUGUACAGAACGAAAAGGUUUCUACUAAUACUAGGAGCUCAUGACGGUACUGUAAGAAUAAGCACCAGCUAACUACGUGCCAGCAGCCGCCGUAA
This 501-nucleotide ribosomal RNA is filed under the name uncultured bacterium. RNAcentral's name for it is "partial 16S ribosomal RNA". It matches the Rfam family "Bacterial small subunit ribosomal RNA", at positions 30 to 523 of the family's 1533-position model. The record is from RNAcentral.